CCUACGGGAGGCAGCAGUGAGGAAUAUUGGUCAAUGGGCGGAAGCCUGAACCAGCCAAGUAGCGUGCAGGAUGACGGCCCUACGGGUUGUAAACUGCUUUUAUACGGGAAUAACGCGCCUUACGUGUAGGGCUUUGCAUGUACCGUAUGAAUAAGGACCGGCUAAUUCCGUGCCAGCAGCCGCGGUAAUACGGAAGGUCCGGGCGUUAUCCGGAUUUAUUGGGUUUAAAGGGAGCGUAGGCGGCAUGUCAAGCGGCCUGUGAAAUGUCCGGGCUCAACCCGGGCCUUGCAGCGCGAACUGGGGUGCUUGAGUCCGCGGAAAGCAGGCGGAAUUCGUCGUGUAGCGGUGAAAUGCUUAGAUAUGACGAAGAACCCCGAUUGCGAAGGCAGCUUGCUGCAGCGGAACUGACGCUGAUGCUCGAAAGCGCGGGUAUCGAACAGGAUUAGAUACCCCAGUAGUC
This 460-nucleotide ribosomal RNA is filed under the name uncultured bacterium. RNAcentral describes it as "partial 16S ribosomal RNA". It matches the Rfam family "Bacterial small subunit ribosomal RNA", at positions 338 to 795 of the family's 1533-position model. The record is from RNAcentral.